RNAcentral lists this ribosomal RNA (293 nucleotides) under uncultured bacterium. RNAcentral describes it as "partial 16S ribosomal RNA". It matches the Rfam family "Bacterial small subunit ribosomal RNA", at positions 505 to 796 of the family's 1533-position model. The record is from RNAcentral.
GUGCCAGCAGCCGCGGUAAUACGGAGGAUCCAAGCGUUAUCCGGAAUUACUGGGCGUAAAGAGUUGCGUAGGUGGCAGAGUAAGUCUGUAGUGAAAGCGUUCGGCUCAACCGAAUACACAUUAUGGAAACUGCUCAGCUAGAGGAUGAGAGAGGUUAUUGGAAUUCCCUGUGUAGGAGUGAAAUCCGUAGAUAUAGGGAGGAACACCGAUGGCGUAGGCAGAUAACUGGCUCAUUCCUGACACUAAGGCACGAAAGCGUGAGGAUCAAACAGGAUUAAAUACCCUCGUAGUCC